This 253-nucleotide ribosomal RNA is filed under the name uncultured bacterium. RNAcentral's name for it is "partial 16S ribosomal RNA". It matches the Rfam family "Bacterial small subunit ribosomal RNA", at positions 524 to 776 of the family's 1533-position model. The record is from RNAcentral.
UACGGGGGGGGCAAGCGUUGUUCGGAAUUACUGGGCGUAAAGGGCUCGUAGGUGGCCAACUAAGUCAGACGUGAAAUCCCUCGGCUUAACCGGGGAACUGCGUCUGAUACUGGAUGGCUUGAGUUUGGGAGAGGGAUGCGGAAUUCCAGGUGUAGUGGUGAAAUGCGUAGAGAUCCGGAGGAACCCCAGAGGCGAAGGCGGCCCCCUGGCUCGUACCUGACGCUCAGCCACGAAAGCAUGGGGAGCGAACGGG